RNAcentral lists this ribosomal RNA (387 nucleotides) under uncultured bacterium. Its description in RNAcentral is "bacterial SSU rRNA". It matches the Rfam family "Bacterial small subunit ribosomal RNA", at positions 28 to 412 of the family's 1533-position model. The record is from RNAcentral.
GACGAACGCUGGCGGCGUGCCUAACACAUGCAAGUCGAACGGACAUAAACUCUUCGGAGGUUAUGUUAGUGGCGGACGGGUGAGUAACGCGUGAGCAACCUGCCUUUCAGAGGGGGAUAACGUUUGGAAACAGACGCUAAUACCGCAUAAGAUAGUAGUAUCGCAUGGUACAGCUAUCAAAGGAGCAAUUCACUGAAAGAUGGGCUCGCGUCCGAUUAGAUAGUUGGUGAGGUAAUGGCUCACCAAGUCAGCGAUCGGUAGCCGGACUGAGAGGUUGAACGGCCACAUUGGGACUGAGACACGGCCCAGACUCCUACGGGAGGCAGCAGUGGGGGAUAUUGCACAAUGGGCGAAAGCCUGAUGCAGCAACGCCGCGUGAGGGAAGAC